RNAcentral lists this ribosomal RNA (429 nucleotides) under Bacillota bacterium. Its description in RNAcentral is "Firmicutes bacterium partial 16S ribosomal RNA". It matches the Rfam family "Bacterial small subunit ribosomal RNA", at positions 355 to 776 of the family's 1533-position model. Lineage: Bacteria; Bacillati; Bacillota. The record is from RNAcentral.
UGGGGAAUUUUGGACAAUGGGCGCAAGCCUGAUCCAGCCAUGCCGCGUGCGGGAAGAAGGCCUUCGGGUUGUAAACCGCUUUUGUCAGGGAAGAAAAGGUUCUGGUUAAUACCUGGGACUCAUGACGGUACCUGAAGAAUAAGCACCGGCUAACUACGUGCCAGCAGCCGCGGUAAUACGUAGGGUGCAAGCGUUAAUCGGAAUUACUGGGCGUAAAGCGUGCGCAGGCGGUUAUGCAAGACAGAGGUGAAAUCCCCGGGCUCAACCUGGGAACUGCCUUUGUGACGGCAUAGCUAGAGUACGGUAGAGGGGGAUGGAAUUCCGCGUGUAGCAGUGGAAUGCGUAGAUAUGCGGAGGAACACCGAUGGCGAAGGCAAUCCCCUGGACCUGUACUGACGCUCAUGCACGAAAGCGUGGGGAGCAAACAGG